AAGGAUCAUUAUUGAUUAGGGAUUGACACAUCUUUGUGUUUCUCCCUUGCUAUGCAUACCCAUGAAACAGCCACCUGUGACGGUCUCUACGACCGGAUUGCGAGUGGUGCCAAGCUGGAUGCGUCGGAACUCCGUCGAAUUCCACCUUCUUGGCGACUUUUUGAGUGUUAAUGGGUAUGCGGCAAAAAUACUUUUGUGAACCAGUACAAUUCAAUUUUAUGAAAAUGUCUUAUGUUAUUUUAUGUCCUUCACUGGACUGAUUAAUUAUUAAUUAUAAAUAACUUUUAACAACGGAUCUCUUGGCUCUC
RNAcentral lists this unclassified non-coding RNA (308 nucleotides) under uncultured fungus. RNAcentral's name for it is "partial contains 18S rRNA, ITS1, 5.8S rRNA, ITS2 and 28S rRNA". Lineage: Eukaryota; Fungi. The record is from RNAcentral.